GUAUAUAAAUGAAGGUUUGGCUAGCCGUCUUCCUCAAGGAACACCCACUCAGGCUUAACUACAGAUUCUCAGAGUGCAGUGAACAGCUAAGCAUUCCAAAAUGCUGCAUUAUUUUGUGGUAUUCUCUUGCCUUUAUGCCAUGAGCAUGACCAUGCCUUUACCUGAUUAUUACUCGUACUCCCCUGCUGCGGGGGAUGGCAGUGGAACUGAAUUUUCCACCGCAAAUGAGGGUCGCAUCACUGGAGUCAGAGUUUAUGAAUACCCCUACUAUGGAUACUACUACAACAACUACCUCAAUGGGCUCCAGUUGCAAUAUAACGGUAACUGGACAGCACUGGUUGGCACGAACGGUUAUGGCAAUGAAAAGGAGAUGACACUCUUCGACAACGAAUAUUUUGUUCAAGUCUCUGGAAAGUAUUACUCUGGUUAUAUCUCUGAGCUUAUGUUUGUCACUAAUGAGGGGCGCUCUUUUAAAGUGGGGCAGCCUACUGGACUUUCAUUUAACUUCUACCCAACCCAUGAUGGAAGUGAACUACGUUUCCUCAGCGGUCGACAGAAUGGAUUUGCCCUGACCUCCAUUGGGGCUCACUGGGCUGUGUUUAACAACAAUUCCACUGCAUCAUAAAGACAGAAAUGUUUCUCUGGCUAAGAAUUAUGUGUUUAUUUGAGGAAAAUGCAAGUUAAUAAGUAACCGACUAAUAUUUUUUUUCUGAGCUCUUGAUGAUGAAAUUAUGAAAUUUUCUGAGUUGUCAUCAUUAUUUGAAUAAUUUAUGGUUAAUAUUUCAGCCUUAAAAUUAAUUUACUCAUUAAUUCAACACUAAGGAGACUGGCUAAUCAAAUGUUAUUCCUAAUCAUGCUUUAAGGGCUUCACCUUUAACACAAGAAUUCUUAAAGGCUUUCAAUGAUUUCAACUAUUAGGCUUGAUUUUACUAUUAAAGUUGAUUUUUUUAUUAAAAUUUAUCAAAACAAAUGUUAUACUUUAUUUCAUUAUAUGAGGAUCACAAUAAAACUGACUUAAAACAUUUA
Molecule: long non-coding RNA, 1026 nt
Organism: Ctenopharyngodon idella (grass carp)
Lineage: Eukaryota; Metazoa; Chordata; Actinopteri; Cypriniformes; Xenocyprididae
Exons: 4
Source: RefSeq, a predicted model, not a curated record